Molecule: ribosomal RNA, 497 nt
Filed under: uncultured bacterium
Lineage: Bacteria
Description: partial 16S ribosomal RNA
Rfam family: Bacterial small subunit ribosomal RNA
Source: RNAcentral
GAUGAACGCUGGCGGCGUGCCUAAUACAUGCAAGUCGAGCGAACGGACGAGAAUCUUGCUUCUCUGAUGUUAGCGGCGGACGGGUGAGUCACGCGUGGAUAACCUACCUAUAAUACUGGUAUAACUUCGGGAAACCGGAUCUAAUCCCGGAUGAUAUUUUGAACCGCAUUGUUCAAGAGUGAAAGACGGUCUUGCUGUCUCUUCUAGAUGGAUCCGCGCUGCUUUAGCUAGUUGGUAAGGUAACGGCUUACCAAGGCGACGAUGCAUAGCCGACCGGAGUGGGGGAUCGGCCACACGAGAACGGAGACACGGUCCAGGGUACUGCGGGAGGCAGCAGUAGGGAAUCUUACGCAAUGGGCGAAAGCCUGACGGAGCAACGCCGCGUGAGUGAUGAAGGUCUUCGGAGCGUAAAACUCUGUUAUGAGGGAAGAACAUAUGUGUAAGUAACUGUGCACAUCGUGACGGUACCGAAUCAGAAAGCCACGGCUAACUACGUG